Molecule: long non-coding RNA, 1160 nt
Filed under: Lingula anatina
Lineage: Eukaryota; Metazoa; Brachiopoda; Lingulata; Lingulida; Lingulidae
Description: uncharacterized LOC106169077, transcript variant X1
Source: RNAcentral
GCUCAGCUAUACAAACAUUUCCCCACUUCCUUUUACUUUGAAUUCUCCAGUCCCUAAGCUAAUAGUAUCAAAGUAGUCAGGUCCUAGAGAAGAUGCAAUCCAUAUAUUUCGGAAGUUUCAGCAGCCUAGCGUGUCCAAUUCCUGGCAAAACAAAGGUUCAGAAAAUCUCAUCCGCCGCGCACGAUCAAUAUAUCCCUAGCCCAAUAACGUAUUCGUAAGGGACUGGGGUCCACUCCGGGCUCUUUUUAAUCGCUUAUCCAGAGCCCAAAAUGAGUUAAAUUACACCUUACGUAUUGAUGACGUCACUUCACAUUAAAGAAACUCUAAUCAUUCAAUGAAAAAACUUUUAACUAGGUCUUGACCCGACCACUCUCUACACAUGCUGAAUGAAUUCGGAAUAAUAAAAUGAAUUAAUUGACAUUUGACGGGCUUCUUUCUUGCUUUCGGGAUAUAAUUGCGCAUGUGCAGAAGUGAAGUUCUUUGUGUCAAGCUUUGGACUGUCUAUUAUAUCCUUGUAUUUCUUUUGAUAUUUAAUCUUUUGUGAGAAUACUGUUGUGACGGCACAUUGCCCUGCCUUUACCCACUACGCUGUCCCUGCGCGGAGAGCGCGCAUUUGCCUUAGAUGUAUGGUAGCAUCCAUGAUUUGAUGAUUAUACCUUAUGUGACAUGUGCAGUUAUAGAGACAACAGAUUUAUUAAAGAAAUGAGGUACACUACACAGCAGUCUGCAAUCUUACUACCCUCUACCAGGGCAACAGCAAUAUCUUACUGGAAAAAGAAACUUUUUAUAGCAGUCUUUGUACAUGGAAUGGAUUCAUUAACCAUUGGGGCUGGAUUAUUUGAGAAAGAACUCCAUACAAAUAUACAAGUUCAUUGUGUGAUAGGAGAUUCGCACCAGAAACCUUUGUUUACUACUAAUUAGCAGUUCAUAGACUGAAAGAAGUACGAAUAUCAGGGCAGUAGUGGGAAAGAACAAAAAAAUGUGUUCUCAUAAAGAAUUCUUGAGUUGAGAGCAAUUAAACCACCCACAAGUACCUAGUUUCUGCAUAUGCUGUGACACAAUUACAUUCAGGGAGAAGAAUUGUGCAUGUUGAAGUUCUGUGGUCAGCCAGCAAAAGUUCUGUCAGAAUCUUUUUACCAUUUGAAAUUGUUAACAUUUAU